RNAcentral lists this ribosomal RNA (280 nucleotides) under uncultured bacterium. RNAcentral describes it as "partial 16S ribosomal RNA". It matches the Rfam family "Bacterial small subunit ribosomal RNA", at positions 506 to 784 of the family's 1533-position model. The record is from RNAcentral.
UGCCAGCCGCCGCGGUAAUACGGAGGGUGGCAAGCGUUGUUCGGAUUCACUGGGCAUAAAGGGCGUGUAGGCGGUAUGGCAAGCGGUGUGUGAAAUCCCGGGGCUCAACCCCGGAACUGCACACCGAACUGCCGUACUAGAGGACAGGAGGGGGAUGUGGAACUCUAGGUGUAGCGGUGAAAUGCGUAGAUAUCUAGAGGAACGCCGGUGGCGAAAGCGACAUCCUGGCCUGUAUCUGACGCUGAGGCGCGAAAGCGUGGGUAGCAAACAGGAUUAGAUA